GGACCGGGAUGGACAAACCUCUGAUGUACCAGUUGUCACGCCAGUGGCACAGCUGGGUAGUCACGUUUGGCAUAGAUAACCGCUGAAAGCAUCUAAGCGGGAAACUAGCUUCAAGAUAAGUAUUCUACGAGGAAGCUUCGAGAACAGGAGCUAGAUAGGUUGGGGGUGUACGCGCAGUAAUGUGUUUAGCUGACCAAUACUAAUCGAACGAAAUUUUAAUCA
Molecule: ribosomal RNA, 222 nt
Filed under: Fusobacterium necrophorum subsp. funduliforme
Lineage: Bacteria; Fusobacteriati; Fusobacteriota; Fusobacteriia; Fusobacteriales; Fusobacteriaceae
Description: partial 23S ribosomal RNA
Rfam family: Bacterial large subunit ribosomal RNA
Source: RNAcentral